GUGGGGAAUAUUGGACAAUGGGCGCAAGCCUGAUCCAGCCAUACCGCGUGAGUGAUGAAGGCCUUCGGGUUGUAAAGCUCUUUAGUCCACGAAUAUAAUGACUGUAGUGGAAGAAUAAGCCCCGGCCAACUUCGUGCCAGCAGCCGCGGUAAUACGAAGGGGGCGAGCGUUAUUCGGAAUCACUGGGCGUAAAGCGUGCGUAGGCUGUUUUGUAAGUCAGAAGUGAAAGCCCAGGGCUUAACCCUGGAAUUGCUUUUGAAACUACAAGACUCGAAUUCGGGAGAGGAUAGCGGAAUUGUCAGUGUAGCAGUGAAAUGCGUAGAUAUUGACAGGAACACCAGUGGCGCAAGCGGCUAUCUGGACCGAUAUUGACGCUGAGGCACGAAAGCGUGGGGAGCAAACAGGAUUAGAUACCCUAGUAGUCC
This 425-nucleotide ribosomal RNA is filed under the name uncultured bacterium. RNAcentral's name for it is "partial 16S ribosomal RNA". It matches the Rfam family "Bacterial small subunit ribosomal RNA", at positions 354 to 796 of the family's 1533-position model. The record is from RNAcentral.